Molecule: long non-coding RNA, 471 nt
Organism: Aedes aegypti (yellow fever mosquito)
Lineage: Eukaryota; Metazoa; Arthropoda; Insecta; Diptera; Culicidae
Exons: 2
Source: RefSeq, a predicted model, not a curated record
UCUUACCGCAUUUGGUGUUCCCGCAUUUGAUAUUUGCAUUUCAAACGCACACAGCAAUAAUAAUUAAAUUUUAUUAAAGACAAGGAGAGAUGUAGUAGGCUAAGAAAUAAGGGUCACUAAGAUGGAUAUAAUAAACGUCACUGUUAUUCUGUAUACCACUAAAUGGAAAUGUGUUUUGGGUUCUCUACAACAACUACCACUUCAAAACUGAUGUUAUCACAAAUACUAAUUUGUUCGACCGCUUCUCUAAAUACCCCACAUCGAUGUGUAUUUCAGGGGCUGUUUUCUUAAGAGUAUAAGUGCGAAAUUGACUUUCUUGAACCGAUAAAAAGAUAAAAGAGCGAGAUUACAUCGGAUUGGUCUGGUGUCUUCACCGCACUUAUUCGUCAUCUCAUUUUGUUAGCAAUCCCACACUUCUAAUCGCACUUGUUAUUUGCACAAUGAGCUAUACAUUCAUCAACAUAAAAAAAA